RNAcentral lists this ribosomal RNA (253 nucleotides) under uncultured bacterium. RNAcentral's name for it is "partial 16S ribosomal RNA". It matches the Rfam family "Bacterial small subunit ribosomal RNA", at positions 524 to 776 of the family's 1533-position model. The record is from RNAcentral.
GACAGAGGGGGCAAGCGUUGCUCGGAAUUACUGGGCGUAAAGGGCGCGUAGGCGGGAUGGCAAGUCGGUCGUGAAAUCCUUCGGCUCAACCGAAGAACGUCGAUCGAUACUGCUGUUCUUGAGGGUUGCAGAGGAGACUGGAAUUCCCGGUGUAGCGGUGAAAUGUGUAGAGAUCGGGAGGAACACCGGUGGCGAAGGCGGGUCUCUGGGCAAUUCCUGACGCUGAGACGCGAAAGCCAGGGGAGCGAACGGG